UUUUUUUUUUUUUUUUCCAAAUUUCACUUCAUCUCCUAUGACUCGCUUGCAAUUUGGUGACAAAGCAUCUCCUUCUACACCUUUUUGCUUCUUCAAAUGGGUUUGCUUCUUCUUUAUUUGAUGGGUAACAGUUGAUUUCUAUUCUUUUUCAUUUCAUUAGCUUUACCCUUUUUUUGCUUUGGAUACGGAUUUUCCCAUGCCGAAUAGUGAAGCCACUAUUCUUCUUUUGAGCAUGCUCUUGCUAAUCAUUUCAUCUUUCACGCUUUUAAUACUAUGUUUGGUAUGUUUCUAUAAUUGUUUUUUACCAUUUGACAUUUUAAUUUCUUCUUAAAAUUUUUAUUAGUGUUUUUGUUUUGUGUUUCUGUUGUUGGGUUUUUGGUUUUCUUCUUUCAAUUCUCGGUAGUCGGUAUGUCAUGCAUUUACCUUU
RNAcentral lists this unclassified non-coding RNA (427 nucleotides) under Hevea brasiliensis (rubber tree). The record is from RNAcentral. Lineage: Eukaryota; Viridiplantae; Streptophyta; Magnoliopsida; Malpighiales; Euphorbiaceae.